This is a long non-coding RNA of Panthera uncia (snow leopard), 1533 nucleotides long. RefSeq lists it as uncharacterized. Lineage: Eukaryota; Metazoa; Chordata; Mammalia; Carnivora; Felidae. The transcript has 6 exons. The record is from RefSeq and is a predicted model, not a curated record.
CACCAUCCAGGAGGUGAUGGGCCUCGUACCCUCCAACUGUGGUAACCGGGAAAUUGUCACCUAUGAUUUGUCCUGCAGGGAUACAUCAACUGAAUCUUAUCAUGAGAAAACAUCAGAAACACCCCAAGGGAAGGAAAUAUAAAAUGACUGGUCUGUGUUCUUCCAAAAUGCCAAUGUCAUAAAAAUUUAAAAAAGAAGGGGGCUGGGGAAGAAGAAACACAGUGGAGCAACCCCAUCUGAUUAAAGGAAACAAAAGGUCAGGACAACUAAACGUCACAUACAAGCCUCAGCUGGAGCGUAGGGCGAGGCUCCUGUAGGGCGUGAUCUCCCGUGGUCUGCAGUUCCGCUUCCGCCCUGUCAGUUACCUUGGACCCUCGGACCGGAAGCAGAUGAUCCUCCCCGGCCCGCAGGUCAGAGGCGGUGCGAGCCUGAGCUACUGCUGCACGCCCGCGCCUGCGCAGUCACACUCUCGGCACCCAGGAGCGCAUUUUCUCCUCUCCCGCCGCCGUCGCGAGAAGGGUGAGCGGGCACCUUCCCGUACGCUCAUUACGUUCUGUCGUUCCAGGUGCCGUUACUCAUUCCGUGCCUACGACCUGUGCCAUCCACGUGUGGAAAGAGUACCGAUUGCUCAUUUUCGUCUACGUUCAGAAAGGGGCGAGUGCUAAAGUUUCCUCCAGGAUGACUCUUCAGUUCUUGUGGCUGAAUUGAAACAAUGAAAGGCACAAGGCAAUGUAAUCUAGGAAGAAUAGAAGAGGAAGAACUAAAUGCAGUCUUAGAAUCUUGGGAGCCUGUUUACUCCGAUUCAUCCCCGGGAGACUGAGCAAACAACCCAUCGCUGUGUGCAUUCACUGAGGUGAUGCCGUCCCACACGCAUGGCCUGAGCAAGCCGCCAGCAACAGACUGGAUGUGAAUUUCGGGCACCAGCGGAACAGAAGCACUGAACGUCGUUUCUUUUUAAAGCAAGGCAACAAAAGUUGUUCUUAAGGGAGUAUCAGGGCUUCAUUGAAUUUCAUUACAAGUAAUUUUUUUUUGUAAAUUUUUUUAAUGUUUUUAUUUAUUUUUAAGAGAGAGCAGGACAAAGCGUGAGCAGGGGAGGGGCAGAGAGAGAGGGAGACACAGAAUCCGGAGCAGACUCUAGGCUCUGAGCCGUCAGCACAGAGCCCAAUGCGGGGCUCAAACCUACGAACUGUGAGAUCAUGACCUGAGCCACCCUCAGGCUCUCAACCGACUGAGCCACCUAGGCGCGCCUCAGAAGAGAAUUCACCCUUAGCUUCGAGGGUGAGGAUGUGGCCUGAAUAUCUCCAAUCAGAAUGAAUCUCAGGAAUCUCGUUCGGAAACAUUCCCUUGUGGAACAUGGACUUACAAUCAAAUUACACAGAAGAAAGGCAAGACUGGAAAUAUAAAGUGCCUUGUUCAAGAUCAUCAGCAGUGGACAGCAGUAAGUAUUCGGACCCAAAUUCUCCACGAAGCAUGUAAGUCGAAUAUUCUAUGGCAGUCUCUACUCCUACAAUAAUCUAGUAUUCUAAAAUAUUA